RNAcentral lists this ribosomal RNA (253 nucleotides) under uncultured bacterium. RNAcentral describes it as "partial 16S ribosomal RNA". It matches the Rfam family "Bacterial small subunit ribosomal RNA", at positions 524 to 776 of the family's 1533-position model. The record is from RNAcentral.
UACGAAGGGGGCUAGCGUUGCUCGGAAUCACUGGGCGUAAAGGGUGCGUAGGCGGGUCUUUAAGUCAGGGGGGAAAUCCUGGAGCUCAACUCCAGAACUGCCUUUGAUACUGAGGAUCUUGAGUUCGGGAGAGGUGAGUGGAACUGCGAGUGUAGGGGUGAAAUUCGUAGAUAUUCGCAAGAACACCAGUGGCGAAGGCGGCUCACUGGCCCGAUACUGACGCUGAGGCACGAAAGCGUGGGGAGCAAACAGG